This 93-nucleotide non-coding RNA is filed under the name Yersinia mollaretii. Its description in RNAcentral is "Yersinia sRNA 224". It matches the Rfam family "Yersinia sRNA 224", at positions 14 to 107 of the family's 107-position model. Lineage: Bacteria; Pseudomonadati; Pseudomonadota; Gammaproteobacteria; Enterobacterales; Yersiniaceae. The record is from RNAcentral.
GAGUGACAGCGGCGGAGAGAACAGGCGGAUCGUAAAGACGCCGUAAAUACAUCCUUGUGGCUCGAGCCGCGCCCUCCCUGGCGCGGACGCUUU